This 407-nucleotide ribosomal RNA is filed under the name uncultured bacterium. RNAcentral describes it as "partial 16S ribosomal RNA". It matches the Rfam family "Bacterial small subunit ribosomal RNA", at positions 356 to 755 of the family's 1533-position model. The record is from RNAcentral.
UGGGAAUUUUGGACGAAUUGGGCGAAAGCCUGAUCCAGCAAUGCCGCGUGUGUGAAGAAGGCCUUCGGGUUGUAAAGCACUUUUGUCCGGAAAGAAAUCCUUGGCUCUAAUACAGUCGGGGGAUACGGUACCGGAAGAAUAAGCACCGGCUAACUACGUGCCAGCAGCCGCGGUAAUACGUAGGGUGCAAGCGUUAAUCGGAAUUACUGGGCGUAAAGCGUGCGCAGGCGGUUUGCUAAGACCGAUGUGAAAAUCCCCGGGCUCAACCUGGGACUGCAUUGGUGACUGGCAGGCUAGAGNAUGGCAGAGGGGGGUAGAAUUCCACGUGUACAGUGAAAUGCGUAGAGAUGUGGAGGAAUACCGAUGGCGAAGGCAGCCCCCUGGCCAAGUACUGACGCUCAUGCACG